AAUAUGAACUCUUUGAACACCACCCUGACAUUUGGAAGGAACAAAUGGAUAAUCACCUAACAAAUAGAGGCUUUAACCAAAUUGUAAGCUUAAAUAUUCCAAAGCAAGAUAGUAGCGGUUCAUUGGACAAAUAUUGCUUUCGUUCUAGAAAGAGAAAAAAUCCAAAGAUCAUAGCGCAUGUUGCCUCCGGCAAACUAAGCUCAACCUCUAAUCUCCAGGUGAACUUCAUAGCUACAUGCUACACUGCACUACAACAUGCUGCUGCAAUUCAAACAACCAAUAAGUGGAGAAACUGUGUUAAUUCCAGCCUUCCUCUUUGCAAUUAUUUCCACCACCACGGACGAAUCGAAUCUCAUUACCCAAGAGAGAAAAAUACAAGAGUUCAAAAUCCCACAGUAUGUACGUAACCAGAGCCAACCAAACUGCCAGUUGUCCACUUUGCAAUAUAUUAAUUCUCUAUUAUCCACCAAACUCAUAUAUCAAAAUCACCUAUCCGCUAAUAUCCCACAAUGCAAACAGACAGUAAGUUGAGAAGCUACACUAAUUUCAGCUCUCCAUCAUUCCCACUUUGCAAUACAUUAACUCUAUUCUCCAUCAAGUUCAUAUCUCAAUCCCUAUCCCAUUCCCAUCCUCUUAUCCCACCAUGCAAACAGCUAGUAACUUGAGAGGCUGCAUGCAUAUAACAUACUACAAAGUGCUAUCUUCCUUAAGAAAAGACUUCAGGAAGCAUGACAGCAUCAACCAUGAAUGCAGAUCCCAUAUACGAAGCAUGAUCACUAUAUAUUAAUCAAGAACACUAAUUGUAGGGGGGAAUUUCAGAAGACAAUUUUACUGAUUUUUACAGGAUAACUUCUAACAGGUGAAUGUACAUACUAACUUACUAAGGCACUAUAUAGAAAAGUAUCAGUGUUCAGUCAGGGCCACAGAAUUUAACAUAAUAAAGAGUAUCAUGUAUAAGGGCAAAACACUUACAUGGCACACAUAUGCUGCCGCGA
RNAcentral lists this unclassified non-coding RNA (995 nucleotides) under Zea mays. RNAcentral's name for it is "misc RNA Zm00001eb325860". Lineage: Eukaryota; Viridiplantae; Streptophyta; Magnoliopsida; Poales; Poaceae. The record is from RNAcentral.